This 483-nucleotide ribosomal RNA is filed under the name uncultured bacterium. Its description in RNAcentral is "partial 16S ribosomal RNA". It matches the Rfam family "Bacterial small subunit ribosomal RNA", at positions 28 to 523 of the family's 1533-position model. The record is from RNAcentral.
GACGAACGCUGGCGGCGUGCUUUACACAUGCAAGUCGAACGGUGAAGGUGGAGCUUGCUCCGCCGGAUCAGUGGCGAACGGGUGAGUAACACGUGGGCAACCUGCCCCUAACUUUGGGAUAACUACUCGAAAGAGUAGCUAAUACCGGAUAUGAAGUCUGUAGGCAUCUAUGGAUUUGGAAAGUUUUUCGGUUAGGGGUGGGCCCGCGGCCUAUCCGCUGGUUGGUGAGGUAGUGGCUCACCAAGGCGACGACCGGUAGCCGGCCCGAGAGGGCGACCGGCCUGCCUGGGACUGGGACACGGCCCAGACUACUACGGGAGGCAGCAGUGGGGAAUAGUGCGCGAUGGGCGAAAGCCUGACGCAGCAACGCCGCGUGCGGGAUGAAGGCCUUCGGGUUGUAAACCGCUUUCAGCAGGGAAGAAGCGAAAGUGACGGGACCUGCAGAAGAAGCACCGGCUAACUACGUGCCAGCCGCCGCCGUAA